CGGGGUGUAGCUUAGCCUGGUAGAGCGCUUGCUUUGGGAGCAAGAGGUCGUCGGUUCGAAUCCGUCCACCCCGACCA
RNAcentral lists this transfer RNA (77 nucleotides) under Puniceicoccales bacterium. RNAcentral's name for it is "tRNA-Pro". It matches the Rfam family "tRNA". From Rfam's summary of the family: Transfer RNA (tRNA) molecules are approximately 80 nucleotides in length. Their secondary structure includes four short double-helical elements and three loops (D, anti-codon, and T loops). Lineage: Bacteria; Pseudomonadati; Verrucomicrobiota; Opitutia; Puniceicoccales. The record is from RNAcentral.